RNAcentral lists this ribosomal RNA (1121 nucleotides) under Herbiconiux ginsengi. RNAcentral's name for it is "bacterial SSU rRNA". It matches the Rfam family "Bacterial small subunit ribosomal RNA", at positions 55 to 1187 of the family's 1533-position model. The record is from RNAcentral. Lineage: Bacteria; Bacillati; Actinomycetota; Actinomycetes; Micrococcales; Microbacteriaceae.
AUGCAAGUCGAACGAUGAACCCGGAGCUUGCUCCGGCGGAUUAGUGGCGAACGGGUGAGUAACACGUGAGUAACCUGCCCUUGACUCUGGGAUAAGCGUUGGAAACGACGUCUAAUACCGGAUACGACGCGCGAAGGCAUCUUCUGCGCGUGGAAAGAAUUUCGGUCAAGGAUGGACUCGCGGCCUAUCAGCUAGUUGGUGAGGUAACGGCCCACCAAGGCGACGACGGGUAGCCGGCCUGAGAGGGUGACCGGCCACACUGGGACUGAGACACGGCCCAGACUCCUACGGGAGGCAGCAGUGGGGAAUAUUGCACAAUGGGCGCAAGCCUGAUGCAGCAACGCCGCGUGAGGGACGACGGCCUUCGGGUUGUAAACCUCUUUUAGUAGGGAAGAAGCGAAAGUGACGGUACCUGCAGAAAAAGCACCGGCUAACUACGUGCCAGCAGCCGCGGUAAUACGUAGGGUGCAAGCGUUAUCCGGAAUUAUUGGGCGUAAAGAGCUCGUAGGCGGUUUGUCACGUCUGCUGUGAAAACUGGAGGCUCAACCUCCAGCCUGCAGUGGGUACGGGCAGACUAGAGUGCGGUAGGGGAGAUUGGAAUUCCUGGUGUAGCGGUGGAAUGCGCAGAUAUCAGGAGGAACACCGAUGGCGAAGGCAGAUCUCUGGGCCGUAACUGACGCUGAGGAGCGAAAGCAUGGGGAGCGAACAGGAUUAGAUACCCUGGUAGUCCAUGCCGUAAACGUUGGGAACUAGAUGUAGGGACCAUUCCACGGUUUCUGUGUCGCAGCUAACGCAUUAAGUUCCCCGCCUGGGGAGUACGGCCGCAAGGCUAAAACUCAAAGGAAUUGACGGGGGCCCGCACAAGCGGCGGAGCAUGCGGAUUAAUUCGAUGCAACGCGAAGAACCUUACCAAGGCUUGACAUAUACGAGAACGGGCCAGAAAUGGUCAACUCUUUGGACACUCGUAAACAGGUGGUGCAUGGUUGUCGUCAGCUCGUGUCGUGAGAUGUUGGGUUAAGUCCCGCAACGAGCGCAACCCUCGUUCUAUGUUGCCAGCACGUAAUGGUGGGAACUCAUAGGAGACUGCCGGGUCAACUCGGAGGAAGGUGGGGAUGACGUCA